This 496-nucleotide ribosomal RNA is filed under the name uncultured bacterium. RNAcentral describes it as "partial 16S ribosomal RNA". It matches the Rfam family "Bacterial small subunit ribosomal RNA", at positions 28 to 506 of the family's 1533-position model. The record is from RNAcentral.
GAUGAACGCUGGCGGCGUGCCUAAUACAUGCAAGUCGAGCGAACGGGCGAGAAGCUUGCUUCUCUGAUGUUAGCGGCGGACGGGUGAGUAACACGUGGAUAACCUACCUAUAAGACUGGGAUAACUUCGGGAAACCGGAGCUAAUACCGGAUAAUAUUUUGAACCGCAUGGUUCAAAAGUGAAAGACGGUCUUGCUGUCACUUAUAGAUGGAUCCGCGCUGCAUUAGCUAGUUGGUAGGGUAACGGCUUACCAAGGCAACGAUGCAUAGCCGACCUGAGAGGGUGAUCGGCCACACUGGAACUGAGACACGGUCCAGACUCCUACGGGAGGCAGCAGUAGGGAAUCUUCCGCAAUGGGCGAAAGCCUGACGGAGCAACGCCGCGUGAGUGAUGAAGGUCUUCGGAUCGUAAAACUCUGUUAUUAGGGAAGAACAUAUGUGUAAGUAACUGUGCACAUCUUGACGGUACCUAAUCAGAAAGCCACGGCUAACUACGU